ACUGAGCGGCGGACGGGUGAGUAACGCGUGGAUAACCUGCCUCACACAGGGGGAUAACAGUUAGAAAUGACUGCUAAUACCGCAUAAGCGCACAGUACCGCAUGGUACGGUGUGAAAAACUCCGGUGGUGUGAGAUGGAUCCGCGUCUGAUUAGCUAGUUGGUGAGGUAACGGCCCACCAAGGCAACGAUCAGUAGCCGACUUGAGAGAGUGACCGGCCACAUUGGGACUGAGACACGGCCCAGACUCCUACGGGAGGCAGCAGUGGGGGAUAUUGCACAAUGGGGGAAACCCUGAUGCAGCGACGCCGCGUGGAGGAAGAAGGUUUUCGGAUUGUAAACUCCUGUCGUUAGGGACGAUAAUGACGGUACCUAACAAGAAAGCACCGGCUAACUACGUGCCAGCAGCCGCGGUAAAACGUAGGGUGCAAGCGUUGUCCGGAAUUACUGGGUGUAAAGGGAGCGCAGGCGGACCGGCAAGUUGGAAGUGAAAACUAUGGGCUCAACCCAUAAAUUGCUUUCAAAACUGCUGGCCUUGAGUAGUGCAGAGGUAGGUGGAAUUCCCGGUGUAGCGGUGGAAUGCGUAGAUAUCGGGAGGAACACCAGUGGCGAAGGCGACCUACUGGGCACCAACUGACGCUGAGGCUCGAAAGCAUGGGUAGCAAACAGGAUUAGAUACCCUGGUAGUCCAUGCCGUAAACGAUGAUUACUAGGUGUUGGAGGAUUGACCCCUUCAGUGCCGCAGUUAACACAAUAAGUAAUCCACCUGGGGAGUUCGACCGCAAGGUUGAAACUCAAAGGAAUUGACGGGGGCCCGCACAAGCAGUGGAGUAUGUGGUUUAAUUUGAAGCAACGCGAAGAACCUUACCAGGUCUUGACAUCCGAUGCAUAGCGCAGAGAUGCGUGAAGUCCUUCGGGACAUCGAGACAGGUGGUGCAUGGUUGUCGUCAGCUCGUGUCGUGAGAUGUUGGGUUAAGUCCCGCAACGAGCGCAACCCUUAUUGCCAGUUACUACGAAAGAGGACUCUGGCGAGACUGCCGUUGACAAAACGGAGGGAGGUGGGGAUGACGUCAAAUCAUCAUGCCCUUUAUGACCUGGGCUACACACGUACUACAAUGGCGUUUAACAAAGAGAAGCAAGACCGCGAGGUGGAGCAAAACUCAAAAACAACGUCUCAGUUCAGAUUGCAGGCUGCAACUCGCCUGCAUGAAGUCGGAAUUGCUAGUAAUCGCGGAUCAGCAUGCCGCGGUGAAUACGUUCCCGGGCCUUGCACUCACCGCCCGUCA
This 1284-nucleotide ribosomal RNA is filed under the name uncultured bacterium. RNAcentral's name for it is "bacterial SSU rRNA". It matches the Rfam family "Bacterial small subunit ribosomal RNA", at positions 90 to 1399 of the family's 1533-position model. The record is from RNAcentral.